Molecule: ribosomal RNA, 251 nt
Filed under: uncultured bacterium
Lineage: Bacteria
Description: partial 16S ribosomal RNA
Rfam family: Bacterial small subunit ribosomal RNA
Source: RNAcentral
UACGUAGGGGGCUAGCGUUGCUCGGAAUCACUGGGCGUAAAGCGCACGUAGGCGGCUUUUAAGUCAGGGGUGAAAUCCUGGAGCUCAACUCCAGACUGCCUUUGAUACUGAGAAGCUUGAGUCCGGGAGAGGUGAGUGGGAACUGCGAGUGUAGAGGUGAAAUUCGUAGAUAUUCGGAAGAACACCAGUGGCGAAGGCGACUCACUGGACAUGUAUUGACGCUGAGGUGCGAAAGCGUGGGGAGCAACAGG